GACGAACGCUGGCGGCGUGCCUAAUACAUGCAAGUCGAGCGGACUUAAAAAGCUUGCUUUUUAAGUUAGCGGCGGACGGGUGAGUAACACGUGGGCAACCUGCCUGUAAGACUGGGAUAACUUCGGGAAACCGGAGCUAAUACCGGAUAAUCCUUUCCUACUCAUGUAGGAAAGCUGAAAGACGGUUUACGCUGUCACUUACAGAUGGGCCCGCGGCGCAUUAGCUAGUUGGUGAGGUAACGGCCUACCAAGGCGACGAUGCGUAGCCGACCUGAGAGGGUGAUCGGCCACACUGGGACUGAGACACGGCCCAGACUCCUACGGGAGGCAGCAGUAGGGAAUCUUCCGCAAUGGACGAAGGUCUGACGGAGCAACGCCGCGUGAGUGAUGAAGGUUUUCGGAUCGUAAAACUCUGUUGUUAGGGAAGAACAAGUACGAGAGUAACUGCUCGUACCUUGACGGUACCUAACCAGAAAGCCACGGCUAACUACGUGCCAGCCGCCGCGGUAA
This 510-nucleotide ribosomal RNA is filed under the name uncultured bacterium. RNAcentral describes it as "partial 16S ribosomal RNA". It matches the Rfam family "Bacterial small subunit ribosomal RNA", at positions 28 to 523 of the family's 1533-position model. The record is from RNAcentral.